GAGAGUUGAAGGAAAUACAAGACAAGCUGAAUGAAGACUACUUCAACACACAGGUAAUUGAGGAAGAAAAGACAGCCUUACAGAAUAUUGAAAAGUGGGAAGCAAUUCAAGAACAAAUAAUGAGACAAAAGUCAAGAGCCACUUGGAUCCAACUGGGGGAUCAAUCGGACAUCGUUUAGUUGGGUUUUUGAUCAAAUGUGAGAUUCGGAAGUUUUAGUUUAACUUAGG
This 228-nucleotide long non-coding RNA is filed under the name Nicotiana benthamiana. RNAcentral's name for it is "long non-coding RNA (NBEN_LNC024245)". The record is from RNAcentral. Lineage: Eukaryota; Viridiplantae; Streptophyta; Magnoliopsida; Solanales; Solanaceae.